Molecule: unclassified non-coding RNA, 200 nt
Filed under: Mortierella sp.
Lineage: Eukaryota; Fungi; Mortierellomycota; Mortierellomycetes; Mortierellales; Mortierellaceae
Description: partial internal transcribed spacer 2
Source: RNAcentral
UUAAGUUCAGCGGGUAGUCUUACUUGAUUUGAGAUCGAGUUUUACAAGAGUCGUUUCCAACCCUUGUGAAAUCCUGCAUCAGUCAGCCAAUACGGUCAGACUCCCUUUAUGUUAGCUGCAGCAAAAGUAAUAAUCCGUUUGACGGGACUAAAUAGAUAUGCUUAUAGCUCAGGAGAAUGUCCAGCUGCACCUGCAUUUCA